RNAcentral lists this ribosomal RNA (1177 nucleotides) under metagenome. RNAcentral's name for it is "SSU rRNA". It matches the Rfam family "Eukaryotic small subunit ribosomal RNA", at positions 582 to 1777 of the family's 1831-position model. The record is from RNAcentral.
AUUCCAGCUCCAAUAGCGUAUAUUAAAGUUGCCGCAGUUAAAAAGCUCGUAGUUGGAUCUGAGGACUAGAGAUAAUGGUGCGAUAACUUCGUAACUGUUAUUUCUGCCUAAAAAGACGGUGCUAGUCUUUGGUGCUCUUAACUGAGUGCCUUUGAUGCCCGUCAAGUUUACUUUGAAAAAAUUAGAGUGCUCAAAGCAGGCGCUUUGCCUGAAUAGUGGUGCAUGGAAUAAUGGAAUAAGAUCUUCGGAUCUAUUUUGUUGGUUUUCGGAAGCCGAGAUAAUGAUUAAGAGAGACAGACGGGGGCAUUCGUAUUGUGGUGUUAGAGGUGAAAUUCUUGGAUCGCCGCAAGACGAACAACUGCGAAAGCAUUUGCCAAGCAUGUUUUCAUUAAUCAAGAACGAAAGUCAGAGGUUCGAAGACGAUCAGAUACCGUCCUAGUUCUGACCAUAAACGAUGCCAGCUGGCGAUCCGCGGUGGUUGUUAUUUUCGACCCCGCGGGCAGCCUCCGGGAAACCAAAGCCUUUGGGUUCCGGGGGAAGUAUGAUUGCAAAGUCGGAACUUAAAGGAAUUGACGGAAGGGCACCACCAGGAGUGGAGCCUGCGGCUUAAUUUGACCCAACACGGGAAAACUCACCCGGCCCGGACACUGUGAGGAUUGACAGAUUGAAAGCUCUUUCUCGAUUCGGUGGGUGGUGGUGCAUGGCCGUUCUUAGUUGGUGGAGCGAUUUGUCUGGUUAAUUCCGAUAACGAACGAGACUCUAGCCUGCUAAAUAGUCAGGUCGUAUCCUUUAGCGAUCUCUUGACUUCUUAGAGGGACAAGCGGCAACUAGUCGCACGAGAUUGAGCAAUAACAGGUCUGUGAUGCCCUUAGAUGUUCGGGGCCGCACGCGCGCUACACUGAAGGGAACAACGAGUAAUUUUCCUGGCCCGAAUGGGUCGGGUAACCUGUUGAAUACCCUUCGUGACAGGGAUCGGGGCUUGCAAUUAUUCCCCGUGAACGAGGAAUUCCCAGUAAGCGCAAGUCAUAAGCUUGCGUUGAUUACGUCCCUGCCCUUUGUACACACCGCCCGUCGCUACUACCGAUUGAAUGUUCUGGUGAAAUCAUUGGAGUGGUGCCGAUGGGGUGGUCUCCACUCCAUGGGAUACUGCGAAGACGCUUAAACCUGAGCAUUUAGA